RNAcentral lists this ribosomal RNA (773 nucleotides) under uncultured Neocallimastigales. Its description in RNAcentral is "partial large subunit ribosomal RNA". The stretch from base 2 to 692 matches the Rfam family "Eukaryotic large subunit ribosomal RNA", at positions 24 to 664 of the family's 3401-position model. Lineage: Eukaryota; Fungi; Neocallimastigomycota; Neocallimastigomycetes; Neocallimastigales. The record is from RNAcentral.
AGAUGCGAGAGUAGAGCAUAUCAAUAAGCGGAGGAAAAGAAACUAACAAGGAUUCCCUUAGUAACGGCGAGUGAAGCGGGAAGAGCUCAAAUUUGAAAUCUUCAAGGUUUUACCUUGACGAAUUGUAGUUUAUAGAAGUGUUUUCUGUUGGUGUUUUGGUAAAAGUUCUUUGGAAUAGGACAUCAUAGAGGGUGAGAAUCCCGUAUUUGACCAUUAUUUCCAGCUGUGUGAUACACUUUCAAAGAGUCGGAUUGUUUGGGAAUGCAGUCCAAAAUGGGUGGUAAAUUUCAUCUAAAGCUAAAUAUUGGCGAGAGACCGAUAGCGAACAAGUACCGUGAGGGAAAGAUGAAAAGAACUUUGAAAAGAGAGUUAAACAGUACGUGAAAUUGUCAAAAGGGAAGCGUUUGACACCAGUGUUGUUUUCUCGAAAAUCAAUUAAAAAUGAUGGGAUUUUGCGUUGUAUUGACUUUAUCAGCUUUCUGCACUUUUUUCUUAUCUUUUUUAAUGCACUUUUCGUUUAACAAGUCAACAUCAAUUUCUUUUGUUGUAAAAGAGUCAUUGGAAGGUGGCUUUUUCUUCGGAAAAAGUGUUUAUAGCCUUUGGCUUCUGCAAUCGGAGAGAUUGAGGUCUGCAGCGUAGAUCCUUCGGGGUUAGAUACAUUUGUGCUAAGCUAUAGUUCUUUAUAGACAACUUGUUGACUAUAAUCAAUCCUGUAACUUACUCGCUUAUGCUAUUUUACCUACGCUUAGGAUGUUGACACACGCGCGUGCUCG